Molecule: ribosomal RNA, 579 nt
Filed under: uncultured fungus
Lineage: Eukaryota; Fungi
Description: eukaryotic LSU rRNA
Rfam family: 5.8S ribosomal RNA (bases 211-364)
Source: RNAcentral
UCCGUAGGUGAACCUGCGGAAGGAUCAUUAAAUCGUAUUGUCAGGCCCCAGUUGGAAUUGUGCAUCUGCGCUCUACUAACUAGUGCUGUCUGAACAUUACCCUGUUUUUUGCGUACCCACUUGUUUCCUCGGCAGGCUCGCCUGUCAGUAGGACCUUUUUUAAACCUUUUUGUAAUAGUAGUCAGCGUCAAAUAAUAAUUUAAUUAUUACAACUUUCAACAACGGAUCUCUUGGUUCUGGCAUCGAUGAAGAACGCAGCGAAAUGCGAUAAGUAGUGUGAAUUGCAGAAUUCAGUGAAUCAUCGAAUCUUUGAACGCACAUUGCGCCCCUUGGUAUUCCAUGGGGCAUGCCUGUUCGAGCGUCAUUUAAACCUUCAAGCCUUGCUUGGUGUUGGGUGAUUGUCCCCGUUAUCGUGCGGACUCGCCUGAAUUUAAUUGGCAGCCGUCUAUCUGGCUUCGAGCGCAGCACAUUUUGCGACUCUUACCAUGAAAGGCGACAUCCAUAAAGCGCCUAUACUUAUUUUGACCUCGGAUCAGGUAGGGAUACCCGCUGAACUUAAGCAUAUCAAUAAGCGGAGGA